This 446-nucleotide ribosomal RNA is filed under the name uncultured bacterium. RNAcentral's name for it is "partial 16S ribosomal RNA". It matches the Rfam family "Bacterial small subunit ribosomal RNA", at positions 330 to 793 of the family's 1533-position model. The record is from RNAcentral.
CCCAGACUCCUACGGGAGGCAGCAGUGGGGAAUAUUGCACAUUGGGGGAAACCCUGAUGCAGCGACGCCGCGUGAGUGAAGAAGUAUUUCGGUAUGUAAAGCUCUAUCAGCAGGAAAGAAAAUGACGGUACCUGACUAAGAAGCCCCGGCUAACUACGUGCCAGCAGCCGCGGUAAUACGUAGGGGGCAAGCGUUAUCCGGAUUUACUGGGUGUAAAGGGAGCGUAGACGGUGAAGCAAGUCUGAUGUGAAAUACCGGGGCUCAACCCCGGGGCUGCAUUGGAAACUGGCAGGCUGGAGUGUCGGAGAGGCAGGCGGAAUUCCUAGUGUAGCGGUGAAAUGCGUAGAUAUUAGGAGGAACACCAGUGGCGAAGGCGGCCUGCUGGACGAUGACUGACGCUGAGGCUCGAAAGCGUGGGGAGCAAACAGGAUUAGAUACCCUGGUAC